RNAcentral lists this ribosomal RNA (1414 nucleotides) under Bacillus sp. 1-7. RNAcentral's name for it is "16S ribosomal RNA". It matches the Rfam family "Bacterial small subunit ribosomal RNA". Lineage: Bacteria; Bacillati; Bacillota; Bacilli; Caryophanales; Bacillaceae. The record is from RNAcentral.
AGUCGAGCGAAUGACGAGGAGCUUGCUCNUCUGAUUUAGCGGCGGACGGGCUGAGUAACACGUGGGUAACCUGCCUGUAAGACGGGGAUAACUCCGGGAAACCGGAGCUAAUACCGGAUGAUAACGAGAAGCGCCUGCUUCUUUUUUGAAAGUCGGNUUCGGCUGACGCUUACAGAUGGGCCCGCGNCGCCNUUAGCUAGUUGGCGAGGUAACGGCUCACCAAGGCGACGAUGCGUAGNCGACCUGAGAGGGUGAUCGGCCACCCUGGGACUGAAACACGGCCCAAACUCCUACGGGAGGCAGCCUUAGGGAAUCUUCCGCAUUGGACGAAAGUCUGACAGAGCAACGCCGCGUGAGCGAUGAAGGCCUUCGGGUCGUAAAGCUCUGUUGUCAGAGAAGAACAAGUACCGGAGUAACUGCCGGUACCUUGACGGUACCUGACCAGAAAGCCACGGCUAACUACGUGCCAGCAGCCCGCGGUAAUACGUAGGUGGCCAAGCGUUGUCCCGGAAUUAUUGGGCGUAAAGCGCGCGCAGGCGGUUUCUUAAGUCUGAUGUGAAAGCCCACGGCUCAACCCUGGAGGGGUCCAUUGGAAACUGGGGAGCUUGAGUGCAGAAGAGAAAAGUGGAAUUCCACGUGUAGCGGUGAAAAUGCGUAGAGAUGUGGAGGAACACCAGUGGCGAAGGCGGCUUUUUGGCCUGUAACUGACGCUGAGGCGCGAAAGCGUGGGGAGCAAACAGGAUUAGAUCCCCUGGGUAGUCUCACGCCCGUAAAACGAUGAGUGCUAGGUGUUGGGGGGUUCCCACCCCUCAGUGCUGACGUUAACACAUUAAGCACUCCGCCUGGGGAGUACGGCCGCAAGGCUGAAACUCAAAGGAAUUGACGGGGGCCCGCACAAGCAGUGGAGCAUGUGGUUUAAUUCGAAGCAACGCGAAGAACCUUACCAGGUCUUGACAUCCUCUGACCACUUGAGAGAUCAAAGCUUUUCCCUUCGGGGGACAGAGUGACAGGUGGUGCAUGGUUGUCGUCAGCUCGUGUCGUGAGAUGUUGGGUUAAGUCCCGCAACGAGCGCAACCCUUGACCUUAGUUGCCAGCAUUCAGUUGGGCACUCUAAGGUGACUGCCGGUGACAAACCGGAGGAAGGUGGGGAUGACGUCAAAUCAUCAUGCCCCUUAUGACCUGGGCUACACACGUGCUACAAUGGGUGGUACAAAGGGUUGCGAAGCCGCGAGGCCGAGCCAAUCCCAAAAAGCCACUCUCAGUUCGGAUUGUAGGCUGCAACUCGCCUACAUGAAGCCGGAAUUGCUAGUAAUCGCGGAUCAGCAUGCCGCGGUGAAUACGUUCCCGGGCCUUGUACACACCGCCCGUCACACCACGAGAGUUUGUAACACCCGAAGUCGGUGGGGUAACCUUU